AUGGGCAAGAAGCGGAAGCUCGAGCCGAAAUCCACCUUGGCAGCAAACUCCCCCGCCGCUAAGGCUCCAGCUGCCGCAAAGAUCGCCGAGCCGGCAGCUGCUCCCCCCCAGCCCGAAACCCUAGCCGAGUACUACCCCACUUCCUCCCAAACCGUGGCCCAGGAGAGCGGGUCCAUCGCUGGGGGCGCGGCGGUGAAGCAGGAGGUGGGCGGCGAGGAGGACGAGUGGGAGGAGGUGGAAGAGGAGGAGGAAGAGGAGGUCGAGGAGGAAGAACAGCAGCAGGCCGAGGAGGGCGACAGCGACCCCGCCUCGAUCCAGGCGCUACUGGAGGUGUUCCCCAAGGAGCAGCUCGUCGAGCUGCUCCGCGACGCCGCCGUCCGCCACGGCGACGUGCUCGAGUCCGUCCGCCGAGCGGCCGACGCGGAUCCAGCCCAGCGGAAGAUCUUCGUCCACGGCCUCGGAUGGGACACCACCGUGGACAUCCUCACCGAGGCUUUCCGCCCUUAUGGUGAGAUCGAGGAUCUCAAGCUCGUCUCAGACCGUAACACGGGCAAGUGCAAGGGCUACGGGUUCAUCCUCUUCAGCCGCCUUUCUGGCGCCCGCGCGGCCCUGCUGGAGCCCCAGAAGAAGAUCGGCAACCGCACUACCUCCUGCCAGCUUGCUUCUUUGGGCCCUGUCCCACCUGGCGGUGCGGCCAACAAUCCUAUGUUGGCUACAGCUCCAGCUCCGGCUCCAGCAGCCUUGAUACUACCGCCAGUUUCUGAGUACACACAGCGGAAGAUUUUUGUUAGCAAUGUUGGCGCAGAUAUCGACCCACAGAAACUGCUGCAGUUCUUUUCAAAGUAUGGUGAAAUUGAGGAGGGUCCUCUUGGGCUCGACAAGGCAACCGGAAAGCCCAAGGGUUUUGCUCUGUUUGUUUACAGGACCCUUGAGAGCGCCAAGAAGGCGCUCCAGGAGCCGCACAAGUCAUUUGAGGGAGUUAUGCUGCACUGCCAGAAGGCAAUCGAUGGGCCAAAACCCAACAAAGGAGGAGGAUAUGGUGCCACAACUACAAGUGGGAGGAAGGGCGCUGCUGGCUAUGGUGCUGGUAGCCAUUCUCUGCCUGGCACUGUUGGUGCUGGUUAUGGGAUGGCAUCUCCAGCGAGCCUGGCUUCAAUGCCUGGGCCUGUACCUGGUGGUCCAGGGAUGAAUCCUGCACUGGGCCAGGCUUUAACAGCUUUCUUGGCCACCCAAGGGGGAGGGUUGGGUCUGAAUAACAUCCUUGGAGUUGGUCCUAAUAGUUCAGGGGUGCCAAAUUCAGGGUCUUCUGGAGCUCUUGGUGGUCCACCGGGAGGUCCAGGAAGAAAUUACAUGGGUCAUUAG
RNAcentral lists this ribosomal RNA (1362 nucleotides) under Triticum aestivum (bread wheat). RNAcentral describes it as "partial small subunit ribosomal RNA". Lineage: Eukaryota; Viridiplantae; Streptophyta; Magnoliopsida; Poales; Poaceae. The record is from RNAcentral.